UUUCGCAAUGCCCGAAAGGGUGACGAAGCGACGCCGCGUGAGCGAAGAAGGCCCUAGGGUUGUAAAGCUCUGUCAGGGGUUAUGAAACGCAGACUAGUUAAUACCUGGUUUGUUUGACGAAGGCCCCAAAGGAAGCCACGGCUAACUCUGUGCCAGCAGCCGCGGUAAUACAGAGGUGGCAAGCGUUGUUCGGUAUUAUUGGGCGUAAAGAGCACGUAGGUGGUUUUGUAAGUCAGAUGUGAAGGCCUUCUGUUCAAAGGAAGAACGGCAUCUGAAACUGCAGAUCUUGAGUGUAGGAGGGGAGAGUGGAACUUCUGGUGGAGCGGUGAAAUGCGUAGAUAUCAGAAGGAACGUCGGCGGCGAAAGCGACUCUCUGGCCUAUUACUGACACUGAGGUGCGAAAGUUAGGGGAGCAAACGGGGUUAGAUACCCCGGUAGUCCUAACCGUAAACGAUGGGCACUAAGUAGAGGGGUUUUA
RNAcentral lists this ribosomal RNA (478 nucleotides) under uncultured bacterium. RNAcentral's name for it is "bacterial SSU rRNA". It matches the Rfam family "Bacterial small subunit ribosomal RNA", at positions 364 to 833 of the family's 1533-position model. The record is from RNAcentral.